ACAAUGUCAAAGCAUGAUCAAAAUGGCAAAGGCACAGCUUGCACCAUCAACCUUGGCUUUAGGCGAGGGAGAAACGGCAAAAAAUACUAAGGGGAUUAGAACAAGUUCUGGCAUGUUUAUAAGUGCAUCCGAAGACAAAACAGGUACCUUGGAUCUCAUUGAGGAGAAAAUUGCAAGGCUACCGUGAUUCCCAGGAGCCAUGGUGAGGAACAACCACAAGUGAAAGUACGUAGAAC
Molecule: long non-coding RNA, 236 nt
Organism: Rhododendron vialii
Lineage: Eukaryota; Viridiplantae; Streptophyta; Magnoliopsida; Ericales; Ericaceae
Exons: 3
Source: RefSeq, a predicted model, not a curated record